GCUCCACCGAUUGACUUAUCCAACACGGCUUCUGUCGCGGCAGCAACAGGACAGGUCUGGACUCGGCGACCAUCGUUCUCUCUCUACACUACCAAUCACGACCAAGCCUAUGUCUCCUUCUCGGUAAUGAAACGUCUAAAAUAAAAUAAACAGUUCAAUCAUUUUCUUGGGAAAGACUAUAACUUCUUUUCAAGUUUAUAAAAUAUAGGAGAGAAAUGUUAGGAACAAAUCGUACAGUGAUGAUAACGAUGAGAAGCUCGUCGGAGCAGCCAAAGAGGCUAAGGAGAGGCUGGACGAGCUGCUGAGGAACCCGCGAAGAAGGUUCGGUUUGGU
RNAcentral lists this long non-coding RNA (333 nucleotides) under Brassica napus (rape). Its description in RNAcentral is "long non-coding RNA (BNAP_LNC002787)". Lineage: Eukaryota; Viridiplantae; Streptophyta; Magnoliopsida; Brassicales; Brassicaceae. The record is from RNAcentral.